UGCGCCUGUUCGGUUGCUCGUCCGCCCGGCUUCUGCGCCUCAACCCUCACAGCAUCGCCCGUCCUCGGCCCUUCUCCAUCGCGCGGCCAGCCGCCGGUCCGCCCAGUCACCAUUGUUCAAGCAUCGCUAGCCGGCCACCUGAACCCUCGCCCAGACAUGGAUUGUUGAAAGUUCGAGGGUCUUAAAAUUUAAGCUAUUACAAUUGGAAACAAUUCGCUGUGAUUCAUAUCUAACUAGGGGAGGAUUAUUUCUGCAACAACGGCGAGACACAAUGUCGACCCGGUACGUUUUCGACAGAGAAGCCCAAGUACGCAUGGGAUAUACGAAGCUUGGAGUCUCAUCGCCCCUCUUUUUCAGUCUCUUCGUUUCUUCUUGGUGGCGGCUGAGACUCGGGAGACCGGCACCGGCGGCAUUUUCGAAGUAGGAAUCCGCCUGUUCUGUUCGUCCUCUAUCUUUUCUUUUGUUGUUUAAAGAGAUUCGUGUUCUAGGGUUUUCUGUUAUAGAUGUUGGCCAGAUUCGGAGGAACGCUAUAUGAUUUUUGAUAGCUUUUCAGAGAUGUGGACGGCUGUAUAUAUGGAUGUGGAUCUUGUGCGUAGCACGCAUUUUUUUUGUUGGUUCACUCAAGUAGGAGAAAUAUGGGCGUGGAGUAGAGUAGGAUCUGUGUUGGAAAUGGGCGUGGAUAGAAGCCAUGUUCUCCAAAACAGGUUUUUUGUGUGUUUUUCUUGGAUGAAGAUGAAUGUGUAGAGUAUGAUUUUUUCCAACAUAGAUUUUUUGUUUUGUCUCGCGCCGCCGCAACGAUUCCCUC
Long non-coding RNA from Aegilops tauschii subsp. strangulata, 805 nucleotides. RefSeq lists it as uncharacterized. The record is from RefSeq and is a predicted model, not a curated record. NCBI's taxonomy places the organism in Eukaryota, Viridiplantae, Streptophyta, Magnoliopsida, Poales, Poaceae.